UACGAGGGGGGCGAGCGUUGUUCGGAAUUAUUGGGCGUAAAGGGUGCGUAGGCGGUUCCGCAAGUCCUGUGUGAAAUCUUCGGGCUCAACUCGAAGUCUGCACGGGAAACUGCGGGGCUUGAGUGUGGGAGAGGUGAGUGGAAUUCCCGGUGUAGCGGUGAAAUGCGUUGAGAUCGGAAGGAACGCCCGUGGCGAAAGCGAGAUCCUGGACGUCUUCUGACGCUGAGACGCGAAAGCUAGGGGAGCAAACGGG
Molecule: ribosomal RNA, 253 nt
Filed under: uncultured bacterium
Lineage: Bacteria
Description: partial 16S ribosomal RNA
Rfam family: Bacterial small subunit ribosomal RNA
Source: RNAcentral